AUGCUCACUUUGGCAGCACAUAUACUAAAAUUGAAAUGAUACAGAGAAGGUUAGCAUGGCCCCUGCACAAGAAUGACAUGCAAAUUCAUGAAGUGUUCCAUGUUUUU
RNAcentral lists this small nuclear RNA (107 nucleotides) under Sus scrofa (pig). The record is from RNAcentral. Lineage: Eukaryota; Metazoa; Chordata; Mammalia; Artiodactyla; Suidae. RNAcentral also lists the same sequence under 1 other name.